UUCAGCCGCAAUGGGAUUGAGAUAUGGCCCAUAUUCCUACGGGAAGCAGCAGUGAGGAAUUUUUCACAAUGGACGAAAGUCUGAUGGAGCAAUACCACGUGAACGAUGAAGGUCUUCUGAUUGUAAAGUUCUUUUAUUUAGGAAAAAAAGCGUGCUAGGAAAUGAGCGCGCCUUGAUGGUACUAAUUGAAUAAGUGACAGCUAACUAUGUGCCAGCAGCUGCGGUAAAACAUAGGUCACGAGCAUUAUCCGGAUUUAUUGGGCGUAAAGGAAGCGUAGGCGGGGAGGUUGAUCCAUUGUUAAAAGCAUUUGCUUAACAAAUGUGUGCAUUGGAGAUCGCCUCCCUAGAGUUAAUCAGGGGGUACUGGAAUUCAAUGUGUAGCGGUGGAAUGCGUAGAUAUAUUGAGGAACACCAGAGGCUAAGGCGAGUACCUAGGAUAUAACUGACGCUGAGGCUUGAAAGCGUGGGGAGCAAAUGGGAUUAGAUACCCCAGUAGUCCACGCCGUAAACGAUGAGCAUUGGGCAUUUGACAUCUGGUCGAGUGCUGUAGCUAACGCGUUAAAUGCUCCGCCUGGGUAGUAUAUAUGCAAAUAUGAAACUCAAAGAAAUUGACGGGGACCUGAACAAGUGGUGGAGCAUGUUGCUUAAUUCGAUAAUACACGAAAAACCUUACCAAGGCUUGUAAUCUAUUGCGAAGCUAUAGAAAUAUAGUGGAGGUUAUCAGUAAGACAGGUGGUGCAUGGCUGUCGUCAGCUCGUGUCUUGAGAUGUUUGGUUAAGUCCCGUAACGAGCGCAACCCUACUCUCUAGUUACUUAGUUCUAGAGUGACUGAAUCGUAAGAUAUAGGAAGGAUGGGGCCAAGUCAAGUCAUCAUGCCCCUUAUGCCCUGGGCUGCAAACGUGCUACAAUGGUAGGUACAAUGUGUUGCAAACUAGCGAUAGUGAGCCGAUCACCUAAAGCCUAUCUCAGUCCGGAUAAAAGGCUGCAAUUCGCCUAUUUGAAGUUGGAAUCACUAGUAAUCCUGUGUCAGCUAUAUCAGGGUGAAUACGUUCCCAGGUCUUGUACACACCGCCCGUCAAACUA
RNAcentral lists this ribosomal RNA (1083 nucleotides) under Mycoplasma wenyonii. Its description in RNAcentral is "bacterial SSU rRNA". It matches the Rfam family "Bacterial small subunit ribosomal RNA", at positions 303 to 1404 of the family's 1533-position model. Lineage: Bacteria; Bacillati; Mycoplasmatota; Mollicutes; Mycoplasmatales; Mycoplasmataceae. The record is from RNAcentral.